CAAGCGGUGGAGCAUGUGGUUUAAUUCGAAGCAACGCGAAGAACCUUACCAGGUCUUGACAUCCUCUGAAAACCCUAGAGAUAGGGCUUCUCCUUCGGGAGCAGAGUGACAGGUGGUGCAUGGUUGUCGUCAGCUCGUGUCGUGAGAUGUUGGGUUAAGUCCCGCAACGAGCGCAACCCUUGAUCUUAGUUGCCAUCAUUAAGUUGGGCACUCUAAGGUGACUGCCGGUGACAAACCGGAGGAAGGUGGGGAUGACGUCAAAUCAUCAUGCCCCUUAUGACCUGGGCUACACACGUGCUACAAUGGACGGUACAAAGAGCUGCAAGACCGCGAGGUGGAGCUAAUCUCAUAAAACCGUUCUCAGUUCGGAUUGUAGGCUGCAACUCGCCUACAUGAAGCUGGAAUCGCUAGUAAUCGCGGAUCAGCAUGCCGCGGUGAAUACUUUCCCGGGCCAAUG
RNAcentral lists this ribosomal RNA (457 nucleotides) under Bacillus cereus. RNAcentral's name for it is "bacterial SSU rRNA". It matches the Rfam family "Bacterial small subunit ribosomal RNA", at positions 926 to 1380 of the family's 1533-position model. The record is from RNAcentral. Lineage: Bacteria; Bacillati; Bacillota; Bacilli; Caryophanales; Bacillaceae.